RNAcentral lists this ribosomal RNA (825 nucleotides) under Campylobacter jejuni. RNAcentral describes it as "partial 23S ribosomal RNA". It matches the Rfam family "Bacterial large subunit ribosomal RNA", at positions 598 to 1431 of the family's 2925-position model. Lineage: Bacteria; Pseudomonadati; Campylobacterota; Epsilonproteobacteria; Campylobacterales; Campylobacteraceae. The record is from RNAcentral.
GGACUGCCUUUUGCAUAAUGAGCCUGCGAGUUGUGGUGUCUGGCAAGGUUAAGCAAACGCGAAGCCGUAGCGAAAGCGAGUCUGAAUAGGGCGCUUAGUCAGAUGCUGCAGACCCGAAACGAAGUGAUCUAUCCAUGAGCAAGUUGAAGCUAGUGUAAGAACUAGUGGAGGACUGAACCCAUAGGCGUUGAAAAGCCCCGGGAUGACUUGUGGAUAGGGGUGAAAGGCCAAUCAAACUUCGUGAUAGCUGGUUCUCUCCGAAAUAUAUUUAGGUAUAGCGUUGUGUCGUAAUAUAAGGGGGUAGAGCACUGAAUGGGCUAGGGCAUACACCAAUGUACCAAACCCUAUCAAACUCCGAAUACCUUAUAUGUAAUCACAGCAGUCAGGCGGCGAGUGAUAAAAUCCGUCGUCAAGAGGGAAACAACCCAGACUACCAGCUAAGGUCCCUAAAUCUUACUUAAGUGGAAAACGAUGUGAAGUUACUUAAACAACCAGGAGGUUGGCUUAGAAGCAGCCAUCCUUUAAAGAAAGCGUAAUAGCUCACUGGUCUAGUGAUUUUGCGCGGAAAAUAUAACGGGGCUAAAGUAAGUACCGAAGCUGUAGACUUAGUUUACUAAGUGGUAGGAGAGCGUUCUAUUUGCGUCGAAGGUAUACCGGUAAGGAGUGCUGGAGCGAAUAGAAGUGAGCAUGCAGGCAUGAGUAGCGAUAAUUAAUGUGAGAAUCAUUAACGCCGUAAACCCAAGGUUUCCUACGCGAUGCUCGUCAUCGUAGGGUUAGUCGGGUCCUAAGUCGAGUCCGAAAGGGGUAGACGAUGGCAAAUUGGUU